This is a non-coding RNA of Dromiciops gliroides (monito del monte), 422 nucleotides long. NCBI's taxonomy places the organism in Eukaryota, Metazoa, Chordata, Mammalia, Microbiotheria, Microbiotheriidae. The record is from the annotation of a RefSeq genome assembly.
GCUCUGAGUGCUCUCUCUGCAGGUGUCUGAAGGCCAGGAUGGUCUCCCCAUGGCAGCUCCUCUGGCUGCUGGUGCUCUGGGCUCAGGAUUCCCAAGGAGCUGUUGUGCUGACCCAGUCUCCAGCCUCCUUGUCUGGAUCUCCAGGAGAGAGAGUCACCAUCAGCUGCAAGGCCAGUCAGAGUGUAAUAGAUAGUAGUGGUAAUAGCAGGUUACAUUGGUACCAGCAGAAACCUGGCCAAGCCCCCAGGCUCUUCAUCUACAGUACUAACAUCCUGGUAUCUGGAGUGCCUGCCCGAUUCAGUGGCAGUGGGUCUGGGACAGAUUUCACUCUCACCAUCAGCAGCUUGGAGCCUGAGGAUGCUGCAGAUUAUUACUGUCAGCAAUAUAUAAGCUACCCUGUCCCACAGUGCUUCAGGCCUUAA